AGAGUUUGAUCAUGGCUCAGAUUGAACGCUGGCGGCAUGCCUAACACAUGCAAGUCGAACGGAAACGAUGGGAGCUUGCUCCCAGGCGUCGAGUGGCGGACGGGUGAGUAAUGCUUAGGAAUCUGCCCAUGUAGUGGGGGACAACCUGGUGAAAACCAGGCUAAUACCGCAUAAGCCCUUCGGGGGAAAGCAGGGGAUCUUCGGACCUUGCGCUAUUGGAUGAGCCUAAGUCGGAUUAGCUUGUUGGUGGGGUAACGGCCUACCAAGGCGACGAUCCGUAGCUGGUCUGAGAGGAUGAUCAGCCACACUGGGACUGAGACACGGCCCAGACUCCUACGGGAGGCAGCAGUGGGGAAUAUUGGACAAUGGGGGCAACCCUGAUCCAGCAAUGCCGCGUGUGUGAAGAAGGCCUGCGGGUUGUAAAGCACUUUCAGUAGCGAGGAAAAGCUCAAGGUUAAUAACCUUGAGUCUUGACGUUAACUACAGAAGAAGCACCGGCUAACUCUGUGCCAGCAGCCGCGGUAAUACAGAGGGUGCGAGCGUUAAUCGGAAUUACUGGGCGUAAAGCGCGCGUAGGCGGUUUGUUAAGUCGGAUGUGAAAUCCCCGGGCUCAACCUGGGAACUGCAUUCGAAACUGGCAGGCUAGAGUAUGGUAGAGGGAAGUGGAAUUCCGGGUGUAGCGGUGAAAUGCGUAGAUAUCCGGAGGAACAUCAGUGGCGAAGGCGGCUUCCUGGACCAAUACUGACGCUGAGGUGCGAAAGCGUGGGGAGC
Molecule: ribosomal RNA, 771 nt
Filed under: uncultured Gammaproteobacteria bacterium
Lineage: Bacteria; Pseudomonadati; Pseudomonadota; Gammaproteobacteria
Description: bacterial SSU rRNA
Rfam family: Bacterial small subunit ribosomal RNA
Source: RNAcentral